AUUUAUCCAACAGUUUUAAAUCCUUUGCUAUGCUUUGAAAUUCUUGGAGCAUUCAGCCUUUCUUGAAAUGCUCAGACUCAGCGCUUUUUCCAGGUGAACUUCCGUCGUGCUCCCUCUUGACCAGGCUUCUUCCGUUCCCUCACACGUGGAUCAACUGUCAGCAGCCCAGCUUGUCUCAUAAAUUCCACCUCUGUUUCAGUCACAAAACUUCGCAAUGCUUUUGCAGUGGCCAAACGUAUCGCUCCAGCCUGUGAGGAUCUUCCUCCACCAGAGACUGUGCAAAUUGCAUCAUGCUUUCCAACUCUGUCUAGA
RNAcentral lists this long non-coding RNA (312 nucleotides) under Gallus gallus (chicken). The record is from RNAcentral. Lineage: Eukaryota; Metazoa; Chordata; Aves; Galliformes; Phasianidae.